This 492-nucleotide ribosomal RNA is filed under the name uncultured bacterium. RNAcentral describes it as "partial 16S ribosomal RNA". It matches the Rfam family "Bacterial small subunit ribosomal RNA", at positions 29 to 507 of the family's 1533-position model. The record is from RNAcentral.
AGCGAACGCUGGCGGCAGGCCUAACACAUGCAAGUCGAACGGCAGCACAGUAAGAGCUUGCUCUUACGGGUGGCGAGUGGCGGACGGGUGAGGAAUACAUCGGAAUCUACUCUUUCGUGGGGGAUAACGUAGGGAAACUUACUCUAAUAUCGCAUACGCUCUACGGGUGAAAGCAUGGGAUCUUCGCACCUUGCGCGAUUGAAUGAGCCGAUGUUGGAUUAGCUGGUUGGCGGGGUAAAGGCCCACCAAGUCGACGAUCCGUAGCCGGUCUGAGAGGAUGAUCGGCGACACUAGAACGGGGACGCGGUCCAGAGUCCUGAGGGAGGCAGCAGUGGGGAAUAUUAGGCAAUGGGCGCGAACCUGAUCCAGCCGGAGCACGUGGGUGGAGAAGGCCUUCGGGUUGUAAAGCCCUUUUGUUGGGAAUAAAAAGCAGCAGGUUAAUACCAAGCGUUUCUGACGGUACCCAGUGAAUAAGCACCGGCUAACUUCGUG